GACGAACGCUGGCGGCGUGCUUAACACAUGCAAGUCGAACGGAAAGGCCCUGCUCUUGUGGCGUGCUCGAGUGGCGAACGGGUGAGUAACACGUGAGUAACCUGCCCUUGACUUUGGGAUAACUUUAGGAAACUGGGGCUAAUACCGGAUAGGAGCUCCUGCUGCAUGGUGGGGGUUGGAAAGUUUCGGCGGUUGGGGAUGGACUAGCGGCUUAUCAGCUUGUUGGUGGGGUAGUGGCUUACCAAGGCUUUGACGGGUAGCCGGCCUGAGAGGGUGACCGGCCACAUUGGGACUGAGAUACGGCCCAGACUCCUACGGGAGGCAGCAGUGGGGAAUAUUGCACAAUGGGCGGAAGCCUGAUGCAGCAACGCCGCGUGCGGGAUGACGGCCUUCGGGGUGUAAACCGCUUUCGCCUGUGACGAAGCGUGAGUGACGGUAAUGGGUAAAGAAGCACCGGCUAACUACGUG
Molecule: ribosomal RNA, 468 nt
Filed under: uncultured bacterium
Lineage: Bacteria
Description: partial 16S ribosomal RNA
Rfam family: Bacterial small subunit ribosomal RNA
Source: RNAcentral